Molecule: ribosomal RNA, 253 nt
Filed under: uncultured bacterium
Lineage: Bacteria
Description: partial 16S ribosomal RNA
Rfam family: Bacterial small subunit ribosomal RNA
Source: RNAcentral
UACGUAGGGGGCAAGCGUUGUCCGGAUUUAUUGGGCGUAAAGAGCGUGUAGGCGGCUUGGUAGGUCCGCUGUGAAAACUCGAGGCUCAACCUCGAGAUGUCGGCGGAAACCGCUUGGCUAGAGUCCGGAAGAGGAGAGUGGAAUUCCUGGUGUAGCGGUGAAAUGCGCAGAUAUCAGGAAGAACACCUAUGGCGAAGGCAGCUCUCUGGGACGGUACUGACGCUGAGACGCGAAAGCGUGGGGAGCGAACAGG